AGUGAACGCUGGCGGUAGGCCUAACACAUGCAAGUCGAACGGCAGCACAGUAAGAGCUUGCUCUUACGGGUGGCGAGUGGCGGACGGGGGAGGGAUACAUCGGAAUCUACUUUUUCGUGGGGGAUAACGUAGGGAAACUUACGCUAAUACAGCAUACGACCUACGGGUGAAAGCAAGGGACCUUCGGACCUUGCGCGAUUGGAUGAGCCGAUGUCGGGUUAGCUAGUUGGAGGGGUAAAGGCCCACCAAGGCGACGAUCCGUAGCUGGUCUGAGAGGAUGAUCAGCCACACUGGGACUGAGACACGGCCCAGACUCCUACGGGAGGCAGCAGUGGGGAAUAUUGGACAAUGGGCGCAAGCCUGAUCCAGCCAUACCGCGUGGGUGAAGAAGGCCUUCGGGUUGUAAAGCGCUUUUGUUGGGAAAGAAAAGCAGCAGGUUAAUACCCCGCUGUUCUGACGGUACCCAAAGAAUAAGCACCGGCUAACUUCGUG
RNAcentral lists this ribosomal RNA (492 nucleotides) under uncultured bacterium. Its description in RNAcentral is "partial 16S ribosomal RNA". It matches the Rfam family "Bacterial small subunit ribosomal RNA", at positions 29 to 507 of the family's 1533-position model. The record is from RNAcentral.